This 462-nucleotide ribosomal RNA is filed under the name uncultured bacterium. RNAcentral's name for it is "bacterial SSU rRNA". It matches the Rfam family "Bacterial small subunit ribosomal RNA", at positions 27 to 507 of the family's 1533-position model. The record is from RNAcentral.
GGACGAACGCUGGCGGCGCGCUUAAUACAUGCAAGUCGAACGAGAAGCCAGAGCUUGCUCUGGUGGAAAGUGGCGAACGGGUGAGUAACACGUGAGAAACCUGCCCCAAAGAUUGGGAUAAGCCUUGGAAACGAGGUCUAAUACCAAAUACCUUCUUUUAACACAUGUUAAAAGAAGAAAUGCUCCGGCGCUUUGGGAUGGUCUCGCGAUCUAUCAGCUUGUUGGUGAGGUAACGGCUCACCAAGGCAUCGACGGAUAGCUGGUCUGAGAGGAUGUCCAGCCACAUUGGAACUGAGACACGGUCCAAACUCCUACGGGAGGCAGCAGUAGGGAAUCUUGCACAAUGAGGGAAACCUUGAUGCAGCGACGCCGCGUGCGGGACGAAGGCCCUAGGGUUGUAAACCGCUUUCAGUAGGGACGAAAGUGACGGUACCUACAGAAGAAGCCCCGGCCAACUAUGUG